GGGGUUUCGCCACGUUGGCCAGGCUGGUCUCGAAUUCCUGACCUCAGGUGAUCCACUCGCCUCAGCCUUCCAAAGUGCUGGGAUUACUGGCAUGAGCCACCACGUCCAGCCCAUUGUGGAAUAGUCUUUAAACAUAUUUGCUCCUGCUUUUUUUUUUUUUCAAGUAUCAUCACUUCAGGUAUCCCUUAUGGCAUUUUCCCUGACUUGUACUUAAGAAAUAUAAUUAUGAUUUCUUACAGUUUGUCAGGGAGCCACUGGUGAUGUGGAUGGGGCACAGAUUGUCUUUAAAGAAGUUCAGAAACUCUUCAAAAGGAAAAACAAUCAGAUUGAACAGUUCUCGGUGAAAAAGGCAGAGCGAUUUCGGAAGCAAACCCCAACCAAAGCACUCUGUGUGCUGGCGUCCAUCGAAGUGUUGUACUUGUGGAAAGCUCUUCCAAACUGUUCCUUCCCCAACCUGCAGAGGAUGAGUCAAGCUUGCCAUGAAGUGGAUGACUCAUCUGUUGUUGGAUUAAAGUAUUUGCUUCUUGGUGCCAUACACAAAUGUCUAGGAAACUCAGAAGAUGCUGUUCAGUACUUCCGGCGAGCUGUUAAAGAUGAAUUGUGUCGUCAGAAUAACUUAUAUGUUCAGCCGUAUGCCUGUUAUGAACUUGGCUGUCUUUUAUUAGACAAACCAGAGACUGUAGGAAGAGGCAGAGCUCUACUUCUUCAAGCAAAGGAGGAUUUCUCUGGCUACGACUUUG
This 740-nucleotide small RNA is filed under the name Pongo abelii (Sumatran orangutan). RNAcentral's name for it is "retained intron". The record is from RNAcentral. Lineage: Eukaryota; Metazoa; Chordata; Mammalia; Primates; Hominidae.